GCGCCUGUAGCUCAGUGGAUAGAGCGAGUGCGUUCUAAGCACCAGGUCGGGGGUUCGAAUCCCUCCAGGCGUA
Molecule: transfer RNA, 73 nt
Filed under: Pseudomonadota bacterium
Lineage: Bacteria; Pseudomonadati; Pseudomonadota
Also listed under: 1 other name
Description: tRNA-Arg
Rfam family: tRNA
About the family: Transfer RNA (tRNA) molecules are approximately 80 nucleotides in length.
Source: RNAcentral